GACGAACGCUGGCGGCGUGCCUAAUACAUGCAAGUAGAACGCUGAAGGAGGAGCUUGCUUCUCUGGAUGAGUUGCGAACGGGUGAGUAACGCGUAGGUAACCUGCCUGGUAGCGGGGGAUAACUAUUGGAAGCGAUAGCUAAUACCGCAUAAUAGUAGAUGUUGCAUGACAUUUGCUUAAAAGGUGCAAUUGCAUCACUACCAGAUGGACCUGCGUUGUAUUAGCUAGUUGGUGAGGUAACGGCUCACCAAGGCAACGAUACAUAGCCGACCUGAGAGGGUGAUCGGCCACACUGGGACUGAGACACGGCCCAGACUCCUACGGGAGGCAGCAGUAGGGAAUCUUCGGCAAUGGACGGAAGUCUGACCGAGCAACGCCGCGUGAGUGAAGAAGGUUUUCGGAUCGUAAAGCUCUGUUGUAAGAGAAGAACGAGUGUGAGAGUGGAAAGUUCACACUGUGACGGUAUCUUACCAGAAAGGGACGGCUAACUACGUG
Molecule: ribosomal RNA, 495 nt
Filed under: uncultured bacterium
Lineage: Bacteria
Description: partial 16S ribosomal RNA
Rfam family: Bacterial small subunit ribosomal RNA
Source: RNAcentral